This 253-nucleotide ribosomal RNA is filed under the name uncultured bacterium. RNAcentral describes it as "partial 16S ribosomal RNA". It matches the Rfam family "Bacterial small subunit ribosomal RNA", at positions 524 to 776 of the family's 1533-position model. The record is from RNAcentral.
UACGUAGGGGGCGAGCGUUGUCCGGAUUUAUUGGGCGUAAAGAGCGUGUAGGCGGCCAGGUAGGUCUGCUGUGAAAACUCGAGGCUCAACCUCGAGACGUCGGCGGAAACCAUCUGGCUAGAGUCCGGAAGAGGAGAGUGGAAUUCCUGGUGUAGCGGUGAAAUGCGCAGAUAUCAGGAAGAACACCCGUGGCGAAAGCGGCUCUCUGGAACGGUACUGACGCUGAGACGCGAAAGCGUGGGGAGCGAACAGG